This 496-nucleotide ribosomal RNA is filed under the name uncultured bacterium. Its description in RNAcentral is "partial 16S ribosomal RNA". It matches the Rfam family "Bacterial small subunit ribosomal RNA", at positions 28 to 507 of the family's 1533-position model. The record is from RNAcentral.
GAUGAACGCUGGCGGCGUGCCUAAUACAUGCAAGUCGAGCGAACAGACGAGGAGCUUGCUCCUUCGACGUUAGCGGCGGACGGGUGAGUAACACGUAGGUAACCUACCUAUAAGACUGGGAUAACUUCGGGAAACCGGAGCUAAUACCGGAUAAUAUUUCGAACCGCAUGGUUCGAUAGUGAAAGAUGGCUUGCUUUCACUUAUAGAUGGACCUGCGCCGUAUUAGCUAGUUGGUAAGGUAACGGCUUACCAAGGCAACGAUACGUAGCCGACCUGAGAGGGUGAUCGGCCACACUGGAACUGAGACACGGUCCAGACUCCUACGGGAGGCAGCAGUAGGGAAUCUUCCGCAAUGGGCGAAAGCCUGACGGAGCAACGCCGCGUGAGUGAUGAAGGUCUUCGGAUCGUAAAACUCUGUUAUUAGGGAAGAACAAACGUGUAAGUAACUGUGCACGUCUUGACGGUACCUAAUCAGAAAGCCACGGCUAACUACGUG